Molecule: non-coding RNA, 73 nt
Organism: Streptomyces variegatus
Lineage: Bacteria; Bacillati; Actinomycetota; Actinomycetes; Kitasatosporales; Streptomycetaceae
Source: Rfam
GCGGACGUAGCUCAGCUGGUAGAGCGCAACCUUGCCAAGGUUGAGGUCGCGAGUUCGAACCUCGUCGUCCGCU